Molecule: ribosomal RNA, 253 nt
Filed under: uncultured bacterium
Lineage: Bacteria
Description: partial 16S ribosomal RNA
Rfam family: Bacterial small subunit ribosomal RNA
Source: RNAcentral
UACGAAGGGGGCUAGCGUUGUUCGGAAUCACUGGGCGUAAAGGGCGCGUAGGCGGCCUGAUAAGUCGGGGGUGAAAGCCUGUGGCUCAACCACAGAAUUGCCUUCGAUACUGUUAGGCUUGAGACCGGAAGAGGUAAGUGGAACUGCGAGUGUAGAGGUGAAAUUCGUAGAUAUUCGCAAGAACACCAGUGGCGAAGGCGGCUUACUGGUCCGGUUCUGACGCUGAGGCGCGAAAGCGUGGGGAGCAAACAGG